AUACGGAGGAUGCGAGCGUUAUCCGGAUUUAUUGGGUUUAAAGGGAGCGUAGGCGGGAGCUUAAGUCAGCGGUUAAAUGGUGCGGCUCAACCGUGCCCUGCCGUUGAAACUGGGUUUCUUGAGAGUGCAAGAGGCGGAUGGAAUUCAUGGUGUAGCGGUGAAAGGCUUAGAUAUCAUGAAGAACUCCGAUUGCGAAGGCAGGCCGCGGGGGCACGUCUGACGCUGAUGCUCGAAGGUGCGGGAAUCAAACAGGAUUAGAUACCCUGGUAGUCCGCACGGUAAACGAUGAUUACCCGCUGUCGGCGGCAGACAGUCGGCGGCCAAGCGAAAGCGAUAAGUAAUCCACCUGGGGAGUACGCCGGCAACGGGGAAACUCAAAUGAAUUGGCGGGG
Molecule: ribosomal RNA, 392 nt
Filed under: uncultured bacterium
Lineage: Bacteria
Description: partial 16S ribosomal RNA
Rfam family: Bacterial small subunit ribosomal RNA
Source: RNAcentral